This 68-nucleotide transfer RNA is filed under the name Onthophagus yukae. Its description in RNAcentral is "tRNA-Asp". It matches the Rfam family "tRNA". From Rfam's summary of the family: Transfer RNA (tRNA) molecules are approximately 80 nucleotides in length. Their secondary structure includes four short double-helical elements and three loops (D, anti-codon, and T loops). The record is from RNAcentral. Lineage: Eukaryota; Metazoa; Arthropoda; Insecta; Coleoptera; Scarabaeidae.
AAAAAUUUAGUUAAAUAAUAUAACAUUAGCUUGUCAAGCUAAAAUUAUUUAUAUAUAAAUAAUUUUUA